RNAcentral lists this long non-coding RNA (2814 nucleotides) under Nicotiana tabacum (common tobacco). Its description in RNAcentral is "long non-coding RNA (NTAB_LNC011602)". The record is from RNAcentral. Lineage: Eukaryota; Viridiplantae; Streptophyta; Magnoliopsida; Solanales; Solanaceae.
GGGUGCUUGUUAGAAGAUAUUUGGUUGGAGAGCAAGCAAAAGGACUUUUGAAACUUACUGCUAAUAAAAUAUUAAUAAAUGUAUGGAUUCUGAUUCUCUAACUAACUUUUAACUAAAGGAAAAACAAACUGCUAACACAGAUGAUUUUUGUUGCCCUCUUUAAAUAUCUUGUGCAUUCUUAGUAAUUGAAGGAAGAAAGGGGGUCUUAGUAAUUGACGAAGGGCAAAAAUUACAAGGUCUGACACAAACUUCUAUCUAUUCUUCAGAUUCUUCUUUUGGCCACAAGAAGAGUUAAAUGUUGCCCUCUAUUUUUUGCUUCUCCUAAGUGAUUGGCUUACACUCCUUUAACCUUUAAGUUCAGUUUCCUGUUAAUGCUAGUGGUUACUCACUUUCCUUUUUCUGCUUGCAUGCUAUUAAAGUAAUAGUUUUAUGUGGAUAUUUGAGAGAUCUAAUAAAUUGAAUGGUUAUGGCACAAGUAUAAUUUCAAAAUUUGAUGUUAGCCGUCGAUUUCCGCAAUUCCUAUUGCUAAUGGUCUAUUCUACUUCAGAUGGAUGUACGUGGAUCCCUUGCAGAUCUUUUUAAUAUGCAGUUGAACCCGCUGUUGGCUUAAGACGUAUGGAGAGCCAAGUGAGACGGGAUCUUCUAUGAAGAGCUUGGGAGAGGUUGGAGUAAUAAUUGAUGUACUGCAGCUGUAAUACUUUUCUCUACUGCUUUUCUCAGCAUCUCAUAUUUUAAUAGUUUCUUCAGGUUAGAUUUAAGGGGUUAUAGAACAAUCUCCCUCCUGGAAUAUGAUCCCGUUCACACUUUAUGGAUGUACAUCGUUAUUAAAAUGACAAUUGACCAUCAUUUGGCCUCACAGGGGAGGCCGGCACGAUAAAAAGCCUCUACAUGUGAUGUCCAAAAAAUGUAAACAUGUAAUUUAGUAAAUUAUAGCCCAUUGUGGGGUGCAACCAAUGUUAUUAUCUUUUUUAUUGUAUACAGCUUCCUUAUUUGGCAUCCCAUAACUCUACUUGGAUCCUCUGUUUUGGUGCAUAUUGGACCUGUAGCAAUUCUUGCAUGUAUUCAACGGUGGUAGUUUGAGCUAUAAGUAGAAUGGCUAUGAAAUGAAUUUUAACCCGACCAAAUAAAGCGAACCAAUCGCACUAAAUCUUGUUUGAACCAAUUAUUAGGUUUUGGUAAAAACGUAAAGACUUUGAGGUAAGCCUAUAGCCUUAUCGAAUAGAGAAAAUUUUACUUUAUACCCAUUAAUUCUAAACUAUUUACCCUUUAAUGCUUAGACCCAAAUUAUUUACUACUCCUAUCCAUGGGGCCCAAACCAUUUACCCGGCACCUUCUAACUUCCAAGUUCCCAUUGUAUACGUCUUCUUGUACUACUAAAGGAGUAUUACUUUUCAUAAAUAUUCAUCAAUACAAGAAGAAUAAGCCUGAUCUCUCGGAAACAAAGAUAAGAGUCUCAUCUUUGUCAACGAACUGGCCGUUAAAAUUAACGGAGGAACCAUUGGUAAGGCCGUGCUUAGUGGGAUAUUGGGUACUAUGGAGUGGAGAAUCAAGGAAAGAAAAGGGAGAUUUGAGGGAGAAGAUAUCGAAGCCGUAAUUGGUUCUGCCAACGGUGAAGAAGAUAAUAAAACAUGUAGUGACUCUGAAUCCAUAAUGUUGUUGAUUUGCUUUACAGCUGGGAAAUGGUAUCUGUUGUUAAAGAGAAAUAUGAGCUGCAAUUGUGGUACUUGAGAAAGGCGACGGAGUGUAGGUAGGUGGAAAGUGUUAGCGUUAGGCAUGACGUUUCUUCUUUUGUUUUGUUUUGACUAAAUGGGAGAGAUAAAAGGUUUCCCUUUUUACCUUGUGCUGUCGAUCCUCUCCGUCUAAAUUUUUAUGUGUAUUUGAAAUUUUGAAUAUUCACCAUUGUUGGACUUGAAGCUCUAGAGUUUAAAAAUUUUAUUUUGAAGAUUUCUUGUUUGAUUCAAAGUAAGUGCUAUUAAAUAUUGUUUAUAAUACCUUUAGAAGUUCAUACUGAAAUUUGAUAGCGUUUGGAGCUGAUUUGAGGUAAUUGAGAUCGAAAUUUUCAGUUGAAAAUCAAAGAAGAACACAGCUACAGUAUACCGCUACGGUAUACAAUAUGAUGUAGGAGUAUAUAGCUAUACUGCAACAGUAUACUAUUAUAGUUUACAAUAUACUGCAACGGUAUAUUGUAAUAAUCGAAGAAGAACACAGUUACCUAACAGUAUACUGCUACAGUAUACAAUAUACUAUAGGAGCAUAUAGUUAUAACUUAUACUGCAACAGUAUACUAUUAUAGUAUACAAUAUAUUGUUAUAGUAUACUGUAAUAGUAUGCAAUAUAUUGUAACAAUAUGCUGUAAUAGUAUACAAGAUACUAUAGUAGUAUACUUAUUACUCGUAAAUUCACUUGUCUUUUUCCUUUUAAUUUGCUUUAAGCUUGUACCCAACAUGAGAGACAAAUUGAAAGUGCAAAAAUAUAAAAUAUUAUAGUAUGCUAUAUAAUGUAACAAUAUACUCUUACAAUUAGAUCUUUUUAGAAUUUUUUGAAAUUUUUAUUGACAACUGAUAUUAUUUCAGUUUAAUAAUUAAAUUAAACUUUUUUUAACUCUUUGCGUAUAGUUGUAUACCUUGUUGGUAUAGCUAUAUACUAUACUGGUAUCAUAUGUUAGUUAAUAAUUUUUUGGUUGUAUUAGCUAUAUUUAAUUGGUACACAAUUUGAUUUUUCUUUAGUAAUAAUAUAAAAAAAAAGAAUAAUAAAAAAUAGUGAAAAUAGUAAAUGAAAUUAGAUUAUGAAGAGAAAAGGAAUAUAAAAAAAAAA